RNAcentral lists this small RNA (491 nucleotides) under Pongo abelii (Sumatran orangutan). Its description in RNAcentral is "processed transcript". The record is from RNAcentral. Lineage: Eukaryota; Metazoa; Chordata; Mammalia; Primates; Hominidae.
AGAAGUUAAAAGUUUUGUGUUUGUCCUGGAAGGCAGCAGCCAAACAAACAAAAUUCAGUUACCAAAGGAGAAUAAGCAAAUCCUUGGAUUGAUCCAGAGGUUUCUUGUACUUCAGAUUUACGUACCCCUGGGACAAGACUUCUCCACUGAAUUGCUGUUACAGGAGGUUUUUGAUGGUGAAAAUCAAGCCUGUAUUACAAGUGUAGAGCUGUUUUACAAGCAGCCUCCUUGCAGCAACUAAAUUGCCCCCAAAAAAGCACAUAAGUGUAAUGAAGCUUUUAAGUAGUCACACAUAUGCAUUUAUAUUCUCUCUCUCAUGAAUGACUAAUUUUAAUUUUUUUAAAGUAGCAAUUCAGCUUGCUUUUAGAACCAUUUAAGCUUAGCACAUGAUUUUGUUUUCCCCCCAAAGCCAACUAUUCUUGAUUAUGAGAUAGGGGAAGGUUUGCAUAUUUAUUUUUGCAAAGACAGUAGCAUAAACCCUCAUCACCAUA